Molecule: long non-coding RNA, 274 nt
Organism: Rhodamnia argentea
Lineage: Eukaryota; Viridiplantae; Streptophyta; Magnoliopsida; Myrtales; Myrtaceae
Exons: 3
Source: RefSeq, a predicted model, not a curated record
UUCAUCCUUCUUUACCUGUCAUAUACUUCGACAGUUGCAAAGAAAUAAGGGAAACGCAACAGCAUGCUGACAAUGAUUCUUUUGCUACUGACACAUUGAUUGUGUCAAAGCGAGCCCUUGAUUAGAGGAGCCUGCGAACAGAGGACCCUCCAUUGACCUGUAUACACAAGAUUCCUUUAUAAUUGAGAUUUCUUUCUAGUUGGCGAUUGAAAUGGGUCUCUGUAUUUGUCUGACGAAGGAUCCCCUGCAUACUUAAAACCUUGGGAGACAGGGC